Molecule: long non-coding RNA, 297 nt
Organism: Hemicordylus capensis (graceful crag lizard)
Lineage: Eukaryota; Metazoa; Chordata; Lepidosauria; Squamata; Cordylidae
Exons: 3
Source: RefSeq, a predicted model, not a curated record
CAAAUUGGGCCCGAAACAGGCCUGGCUGCUCCAUUGGGGGUGGGAAGAGUCCCCCCCACCGCCACCAUGCGCUCCAACCACUCCCAAGACAGCUGGCAGUGGCAGAUUUAAGGGAAUUCCCCUUUGGUUUCUGGAUUACAACAAUCAAGCCAGUAAAAUCCAGGGAAGCAAUAGAUAUUCUACCAGCAAAGAUCAUAAUAGAGAACUCUUGAUCCACUGAGAACUCUGAUUAUUGCGUGUCAAGACUUGGAGAGCAGACAAGAAAAAAGGGCAGUUUUCUUUUAUGUCAUUGGCUGA